Molecule: small RNA, 28 nt
Filed under: Bombyx mori (domestic silkworm)
Lineage: Eukaryota; Metazoa; Arthropoda; Insecta; Lepidoptera; Bombycidae
Description: ovarian small RNA-35537
Source: RNAcentral
UGUAUUGAACACGGAGAGCGUUGUACGA